AAAGUGUUGUCAAUGCACGAUAAGAUUCGUGAUAUGGGAAGGAGCAUUGCCAACAACCAAAGCUCUACAGAACCUGGUAAACAUAGCAGGUUAUGGUCUUGUGACAAUAUCAUGAUGGUAUUACAUGGUGGUGAGGGGAAUAAAAUGGUCGGAGCUCUCCCCCUUAGCUUCAACCACAUUUAUUUAAAUACUACAAGUUUUGAGAAGAUGCCCAAUCUAAGAUUACUAAAUGUUGAUGGAGCAACCUUGGAGGGGAACUUUCAGGGUCAUUAAGAUAUCUGAGAUGGUGUUUUUGUCCGUCGGAAACACUACCUGCCAAUUUUUAUCAUGAAGAAUUAGUUAUGCUCGACUUAAGUUUUGGCCAUUUUAAACUAGCUUGGAAUAACUGGCUUGAAAAUAAGCUGUUUCAACAGGUGAAAGUUCUUAAACUCAGUUGUUGUCAGAAGCUGUCUGAGUCCCCUGACUUCUCAGGAUUUCCUCGCUUAGAGAGGUUGUAUCUUGAUAGAUGCCCUUGUUUGGUUAAUUUACAUGAGUCCAUUGAGCAACUCCAACAGCUUGAGUUCUUGAACUUGUCCUUUUGCUAUUCUCUUGAGAAACUCCGAUCGU
Long non-coding RNA from Telopea speciosissima, 606 nucleotides. RefSeq lists it as uncharacterized. NCBI's taxonomy places the organism in Eukaryota, Viridiplantae, Streptophyta, Magnoliopsida, Proteales, Proteaceae. The transcript is spliced from 3 exons. The record is from RefSeq and is a predicted model, not a curated record.